UUCAUCUUGGAUAAACAUGGUGGUUUGGUUC
This 31-nucleotide non-coding RNA is filed under the name Mus musculus (house mouse). The record is from RNAcentral. Lineage: Eukaryota; Metazoa; Chordata; Mammalia; Rodentia; Muridae.